This 440-nucleotide ribosomal RNA is filed under the name uncultured bacterium. Its description in RNAcentral is "partial 16S ribosomal RNA". It matches the Rfam family "Bacterial small subunit ribosomal RNA", at positions 338 to 795 of the family's 1533-position model. The record is from RNAcentral.
CCUACGGGAGGCAGCAGUGGGGAAUAUUGCACAAUGGGGGAAACCCUGAUGCAGCGACGCCGCGUGAGUGAAGAAGUAUUUCGGUAUGUAAAGCUCUAUCAGCAGGGAAGAAAAUGACGGUACUUGCUUAAGAAGCCCCGGCUAACUACGUGCCAGCAGCCGCGGUAAUACGUAGGGGGCAAGCGUUAUCCGGAUUUACUGGGUGUAAAGGGAGCGUAGACGGCAGCACAAGUCUGAAGUGAGAUGCCAGGGCUUAACCCCGGAACUGCUUUGGAGACUGUGCAGCUAGAGUGCAGGAGAGGUGAGUGGAAUUCCGUGUGUAGCGGUGAAAUGCGUAGAUAUUAGGAGGAACACCAGUGGCGAAGGCGGCUUACUGGACUGUAACUGACGUUGAGGCGCGAAAGCGUGGGGAGCAAACAGGAUUAGAUACCCGGGUAGUC